AACCUGCCCCCAUCAGGGGAAUAGCCCGCCGAAAGGCGGAUUAAUGCCCCAUAGGCCCAGGGCGCCGCAUGGCGCUAUGGGUAAAGCUCCGGCGGAUGGGGAUGGGCAUGCGUGCCAUUAGCUAGUUGGGGCGGUAACGGCGCACCAAGGCGACGAUGGCUAGGGGGUCUGAGAGGAUGGUCCCCCCACACUGGUACUGAGACACGGACCAGACUCCUACGGGAGGCAGCAGUGAGGAAUAUUGGUCAAUGGGCGGAAGCCUGAACCAGCCCAUGCCGCGUGCAGGAUGACGGCCCUACGGGUUGUAAACUGUCCUUUUCCCCGGGAAGAAUAACGCCCCUCGUGAGGGGUGAUGCCGGUACCGGGGAAUAAGGAUCGGCUAACUCCGUGCCAGCAGCGGC
RNAcentral lists this ribosomal RNA (401 nucleotides) under uncultured bacterium. Its description in RNAcentral is "bacterial SSU rRNA". It matches the Rfam family "Bacterial small subunit ribosomal RNA", at positions 123 to 518 of the family's 1533-position model. The record is from RNAcentral.